UACGAAGGGGGCUAGCGUUGCUCGGAAUCACUGGGCGUAAAGGGUGCGUAGGCGGGUCUUUAAGUCAGGGGUGAAAUCCUGGAGCUCAACUCCAGAACUGCCUUUGAUACUGAGGAUCUUGAGUUCGGGAGAGGUGAGUGGAACUGCGAGUGUAGAGGUGAAAUUCGUAGAUAUUCGCAAGAACACCAGUGGCGAAGGCGGCUCACUGGCCCAUUACUGACGCUGAGGCACGAAAGCGUGGGGAGCAAACAGGG
This 254-nucleotide ribosomal RNA is filed under the name uncultured bacterium. Its description in RNAcentral is "partial 16S ribosomal RNA". It matches the Rfam family "Bacterial small subunit ribosomal RNA", at positions 524 to 777 of the family's 1533-position model. The record is from RNAcentral.